This 37-nucleotide non-coding RNA is filed under the name Calothrix sp. PCC 7507. Lineage: Bacteria; Bacillati; Cyanobacteriota; Cyanophyceae; Nostocales; Calotrichaceae. The record is from RNAcentral.
GUCACAAUUAACUUAAAUCUCUAUUAGGGAUUGAAAC